Molecule: ribosomal RNA, 467 nt
Filed under: uncultured bacterium
Lineage: Bacteria
Description: partial 16S ribosomal RNA
Rfam family: Bacterial small subunit ribosomal RNA
Source: RNAcentral
GACGAACGCUGGCGGCGUGCUUAACACAUGCAAGUCGAACGGAAAGGCCCUGCUUUUGUGGGGUGCUCGAGUGGCGAAUGGGUGAGUAACACGUGAGUAACCUGCCCUUGACUUUGGGAUAACUUCAGGAAACUGGGGCUAAUACCGGAUAGGAGCUCCGGCUGCAUGGGGGGGGUUGGAAAGUUUCGGCGGUUGGGGAUGGACUCGCGGCUUAUCAGCUUGUUGGUGGGGUAGUGGCUUACCAAGGCUUUGACGGGUAGCCGGCCUGAGAGGGUGACCGGCCACAUUGGGCCUGAGAUACGGCCCAGACUCCUACGGGGGGCAACAGUGGGGACUAUUGCACAAUGGGCGGAAGCCUGAUGCAGCAACGCCGCGUGCGGGAUGACGGCCUUCGGGUUGUAAACCGCUUUCGCCUGUGACGAAGCGUGAGUGACGGUAAUGGGUAAAGAAGCACCGGCUAACUACGU